RNAcentral lists this ribosomal RNA (484 nucleotides) under Fusarium oxysporum f. sp. cubense. RNAcentral describes it as "eukaryotic LSU rRNA". The stretch from base 129 to 282 matches the Rfam family "5.8S ribosomal RNA". Lineage: Eukaryota; Fungi; Ascomycota; Sordariomycetes; Hypocreales; Nectriaceae. The record is from RNAcentral.
CCCCUGUGAACAUACCACUUGUUGCCUCGGCGGAUCAGCCCGCUCCCGGUAAAACGGGACGGCCCGCCAGAGGACCCCUAAACUCUGUUUCUAUAUGUAACUUCUGAGUAAAACCAUAAAUAAAUCAAAACUUUCAACAACGGAUCUCUUGGUUCUGGCAUCGAUGAAGAACGCAGCAAAAUGCGAUAAGUAAUGUGAAUUGCAGAAUUCAGUGAAUCAUCGAAUCUUUGAACGCACAUUGCGCCCGCCAGUAUUCUGGCGGGCAUGCCUGUUCGAGCGUCAUUUCAACCCUCAAGCACAGCUUGGUGUUGGGACCCGCGUUAAUUCGCGUUCCCCAAAUUGAUUGGCGGUCACGUCGAGCUUCCAUAGCGUAGUAGUAAAACCCUCGUUACUGGUAAUCGUCGCGGCCACGCCGUUAAACCCCAACUUCUGAAUGUUGACCUCGGAUCAGGUAGGAAUACCCGCUGAACUUAAGCAUAUAAUA